AGCAGCCGCGGUAAUUCCAGCUCCAAUAGCGUAUAUUUAAGUUGUUGCAGUUAAAAAGCUCGUAGUUGGACCUUGGGCCGGGUCGGCCGGUCCGCCUUCCGGCGAGCACCGACCUACUCGACCCUUCUGCCGGCGAUGCGCUCCUGGCCUUAAUUGGCCGGGUCGUGCCUCCGGCGCUGUUACUUUGAAAAAAU
Molecule: ribosomal RNA, 194 nt
Filed under: uncultured Paraglomus
Lineage: Eukaryota; Fungi; Glomeromycota; Glomeromycetes; Paraglomerales; Paraglomeraceae
Description: partial 18S ribosomal RNA
Rfam family: Eukaryotic small subunit ribosomal RNA
Source: RNAcentral